AUUGAACGCUGGCGGCAGGCUUAACACAUGCAAGUCGAGCGGAGCGAGGGUGCUUGCACCUUAGCUUAGCGGCGGACGGGUGAGUAAUGCUUAGGAAUCUGCCUAUUAGUGGGGGACAACAUUCCGAAAGGGAUGCUAAUACCGCAUACGCCCUACGGGGGAAAGCAGGGGAUCUUCGGACCUUGCGCUAAUAGAUGAGCCUAAGUCGGAUUAGCUAGUUGGUGGGGUAAAGGCCUACCAAGGCGACGAUCUGUAGCGGGUCUGAUAGGAUGAUCCGCCACACUGGGACUGAGACACGGCCCAGACUCCUACGGGAGGCAGCAGUGGGGAAUAUUGGACCAUGGGCGGAAGCCUGAUCCAGCCAUGCCGCGUGUGUGAAGAAGGCCUUUUGGUUGUAAAGCACUUUAAGCGAGGAGGAGGCUACUAGUAUUAAUACUACUGGAUAGUGGACGUUACUCGCAGAAUAAGCACCGGCUAACUCUGUGCCAGCCGCCGCCGUAA
RNAcentral lists this ribosomal RNA (501 nucleotides) under uncultured bacterium. Its description in RNAcentral is "partial 16S ribosomal RNA". It matches the Rfam family "Bacterial small subunit ribosomal RNA", at positions 30 to 523 of the family's 1533-position model. The record is from RNAcentral.